CCUACGGGUGACAGCAGUGAGGAAUAUUGGUCAAUGGCCUGACGGCUGAACCAGCCAAGCCGCGUGAAGGACGAAUGUGCCAAGCAUUGUAAACUUCUUUUGUCAAGGGGCAAAAUCAGGCUCGAGAGCCUGACCGAGGGUACUUGAAGAAAAAGCAUCGGCUAACUCCGUGCCAGCAGCCGCGGUAAUACGGAGGAUGCGAACGUUAACCGGAUUUACUGGGGUUAAAGGGGGCGCAGACGGCGAUGCAAGCCAGGCGUGAAAGCCCGGGGCCCAACCCCGGGACUGCCGUUGGAACUGGGUGGCUGGAGUGCAGGAGGGGUAGGCGGAAUUCCUGGUGUAGCGGUGAAAUGCGUAGAUAUCAGGAGGAACACCGGUGGCGAAGGCGGCCUGCUGGACUGCAACUGACGUUGAGGCCCGAAAGCGUGGGGAGCAAACAGGAUUAGAUACCCUUGUAGUC
This 460-nucleotide ribosomal RNA is filed under the name uncultured bacterium. RNAcentral's name for it is "partial 16S ribosomal RNA". It matches the Rfam family "Bacterial small subunit ribosomal RNA", at positions 338 to 795 of the family's 1533-position model. The record is from RNAcentral.